UGGGGAAUAUUGCACAAUGGGCGCAAGCCUGAUGCAGCCAUGCCGCGUGUGUGAAGAAGGCCUUCGGGUUGUAAAGCACUUUCAGCGAGGAGGAAGGUGGUGAACUUAAUACGUUCAUCAAUUGACGUUACUCGCAGAAGAAGCACCGGCUAACUCCGUGCCAGCAGCCGCGGUAAUACGGAGGGUGCAAGCGUUAAUCGGAAUUACUGGGCGUAAAGCGCACGCAGGCGGUUUGUUAAGUCAGAUGUGAAAUCCCCGGGCUCAACCUGGGAACUGCAUUUGAAACUGGCAAGCUAGAGUCUCGUAAAGGGGGGUAGAAUUCCAGGUGUAGCGGUGAAAUGCGUAGAGAUCUGGAGGAAUACCGGUGGCGAAGGCGGCCCCCUGGACGAAGACUGACGCUCAGGUGCGAAAGCGUGGGGCAGCAAACAGGAUUAGAUACCCCUGGUAGUCCACGCUGUAAACGAUGUCGAUUUUGGAGGUUGUGCCCUUGAGGCGUGGCUUCCGGAGCUAACGCGUUAAAGUCGACCG
Molecule: ribosomal RNA, 528 nt
Filed under: uncultured bacterium
Lineage: Bacteria
Description: partial 16S ribosomal RNA
Rfam family: Bacterial small subunit ribosomal RNA
Source: RNAcentral